Molecule: unclassified non-coding RNA, 240 nt
Filed under: soil metagenome
Description: partial contains 5.8S ribosomal RNA, internal transcribed spacer 2, and large subunit ribosomal RNA
Source: RNAcentral
AACCAUAGAAACCUGCGGAGUACCUGCGGAAGGAUCAUUACAGAGUUGCAAAACUCCCACAAACCAUCGCGAAUCUUACCCGUACGGUUGCCUCGGCGCUGGCGGUCCGGAAGGCCCUCGGGCCCCCGGACCCUCGGGUCCCCCGCUCGCGGGGGGCUGCCCGCCGGAGUGCCGAAACCAAACUCUUGAUAUUUUAUGUCUCUCUGAGUAAACUUUUAAAUAAGUCAAAACUUUUAACAA